CUCCCGAAUGUCUGCUAUCUCGCGCAUCCGGAAAUAGGGAAUUUCUCAUCAUGGCUGACGUGGAGUUCCACGGCCAAGAGCAGGGAAUGAUGAAUGAUGUGUCUCUGGAAGGGGAGAUAACUGUUCCUGGCCUAGCUCAAUCAGAAGAUGACGAUGAUCAAUUCUCUACCUUGGAUGAACCAGUCAAAGAGACGGUGAUGCGAGAUGUCAAAGCAGUGGGACAAAAGUUUUUCCAUGUGCUAUAUCCAAAAACAAGUAGAGUACUUCUAAAGGAAUGGGACUUGUGGGGCCCACUGAUCCUGUGUGUCUUUAUGGCAAUGAUGCUACAGGGCUCAUCCGAACAUCUGGACAAGAUGAACGACGGAGGCCCACAAUUUGCUGAAGUGUUUGUGAUCUACUGGGUCGGAGCAGUGGUGGUCACACUCAAUACCAAACUUUUAGGAGGCAACAUCUCGUUUUUCCAGAGUAUUUGUGUGCUGGGAUACUGUGUGUUCCCGUUAACGGUGGCCUUGGUGGUGUGCCGUAUUGUCCUUAUAGCUGACCAAACAACGGCUCUGUUUAUAGUCCGAUUCAUCAUAGUGGUCGUAGCCUUUGCUUGGUCAACUUUUGCCUCCACAGCAUUCCUUGCAGACAGCCAACCAUCCAAUAGGAAAGCCCUGGCUGUGUAUCCAAUAUUCCUGUUUUAUUUCGUCAUCAGUUGGUUGAUUAUAUCGCACACACAUACAUAACACAAACAAUUUAAAGCGAUGUAUAUUGUAUUAUAGGUAAAUUAUGAUAACCGUGGGAAUUUUUCAUUUUUUGUUCAUUCAUAACAUUUCCAUAAUUUAUUUUCUGUGUUGAACAAAAUGUGUGUCCAUAUAUACAAGUAAUACAACUUUAUCCCUGGUACUUCUAUUCAAAUAUCGCUCUACAAUUUAAACUUUUUUUUUUUUCCUCGAGCGAUACAAUAUUGGUGAUUGUUACAAGAUAUUUACGGUACAUGUACACAUAUAUUCUGUACAUGUGCUGUGAACCUAUGAUUUUGUUCACAAAACCUAAAAGAUUCUCUUGAUGUUAAGAAUACUAAGGGAUCAAAUUGGACAGGUUUCCCUUACAUUAAAAAUGAUAUUUUAUCAUGGGACACAAAAGACCUGAAUACAGUUGGGGGGAAAACCUGUCUAAUCUGACCCUAAGUAUUUCAACAUCCUUUCUAAUCAAACAUAAUGUUGUAAUCCAAUUCCUUAUUUAACCUGUGUAUUCUGAAAUACUGUCAAAUCUGACCAAUAUGUUGUGUCACACAAGGUGUCAGGAUUAAACAUAUUUCACUGUAAUAUGAAAAAUUCCUGAUAAUUAUCAUGUUUGAAUUCUUGAAAAUGUGAUAGACUUGUAUAAACUUACCGGUACAUCUUCCAUAUUCCAUCUUCUACAGGAUUUACGUUUUAAUGCUGACAAAUAAAUGUAGCUUUAAACACCAUUUAAAGUGUACAUCAUGGAAUUAAAUGGGGGUUUUUCUAGCAAAUUCGAGAGUUAUGUCUGAGUGUGUAUGAAGAUAGUUUAAAGAGUAUAUUUAUCAGACAUAGAUGGACUUUGUGUAAUAAAUGUGUUGAUGAAGAAAAAUCAAUAUUUAGCCAAAACUUGAAUAGACAGAUGCUGGAAAAGAAGCUUGGCAAGAAUUGAAUGUGAAUAUACUUAAAUCCAAUUACUUUUGUGUGUGGGACAAGGUUGUCUGAAGCAAGACAGAGGUGUGUGAUAUAUCUAUUAUCUGUUAUCAAUGACACAGUAGCAUCAUCAUUGUGAAUGAAUGGAAGCCAGAAAUAUUUUUACUGUAGCUACAUCCUUGAUACUUCAGGGGUUAUGCUCACUUUUGCCCUCUGCACCCCUGGAAUAUGUCAUAGUAAAGAUUGACCUCGGGUAAAAAAAAAAAAAAAAUCAAAUCAAUUUUUCUGUUGCGCGAAGGUGAGAUUCUUUUGAUGUACAUCAAAGGAUAAAACUAGAUUUGUUGUCUCCAUUCUCAAGGUGGCACAUACUGAGCCUUCGAUUUUGCUAUGACAUAUUGCAGGGGUGCAGAAAGUGAAAGUGAGCAUAACCCUUGGAGGAUUGAGAAUGCUGUAAAAUGUUUUGCCAAAAGACACAAAUGAUUUGAAACAUGACUUUAAGGCAUGAAAGUCAUGUUUUGUUACAAGCUUACUUUUCUGUAUAAAUGAUCACUGUGUGUCUCUAUAGCAUCUAAAGUUUGGAUGUAGGUAAAGUUUGAAUCUAAUUAAGUCUGUUGGUUCUACUAGUGUUAUACUAUAUAUCGAGUAAUUUUCGCCCAGUCAAACUUUUGCCCUUUGCUGGUAAAAUCCAUAUUCGCCCAGUUUUAAUUUCGCCCUUCACGUUUAAUCACUUUUUAUUAUGCUGUAUACUUAUUUGCUGAAAUGAUAAACUCGCCCUCAUUACAGUGGGCGAAAAAGGCGAAAAUUGAAUUCUCGUUGUACAGUAUAUUAGUAGUCCAGCUGUAGCUGUAGAUUUCCACACUUUUUAAAACUAGGUGAAGGUGUGAAAGUGAUUUUUUAAAUUUUAUGCAAAAUAUAAUCUCUUCUUAAUAAAACAUUAUUUGUAUCACUAUUUAUUAGUUUCUUGUUGAGGGAUAUUCCCCCCUGUAUCUUAAUAUCGGUAAUGUAAAUAAAAUGGAUGUAGAUGUUGAUUAAAGUUGUUUUGAGCGGUGAUGUCUCGGUUUUGAAUAAGUAAUCAUGGAUAUAUAGUAUGAUAAUUCAUACUGUCAGUCUCGGCAUUUGUUAAAUAUAAACAAUGUUUCAAUAAUUGAAACUUUUAUGACACAGCGUAUCCAUGACAUGUCCUGUAAAUAAUCCCAACUUAUUUGAGUUUAAGGAAUAUAUGUAUUUGAAUCUUUGUACAUACAAUGUAUGAAAGACCUUUGCUUAUGAUACUGUAUAACAGGAAAUAUUCGUGGGUACUUUCCUUGGUGGUCUGAAACUAUGAAGAUAGUUUUGUGGUGCAAACUUUUUGUGGAUACCUCAUAUAAACAAACAUUUUUCAAGAA
RNAcentral lists this unclassified non-coding RNA (3022 nucleotides) under Mizuhopecten yessoensis (Yesso scallop). RNAcentral describes it as "protein YIPF6-like, transcript variant X3". Lineage: Eukaryota; Metazoa; Mollusca; Bivalvia; Pectinida; Pectinidae. The record is from RNAcentral.